Clupea harengus (Atlantic herring) is the source of this 583-nucleotide long non-coding RNA. The record is from Ensembl. NCBI's taxonomy places the organism in Eukaryota, Metazoa, Chordata, Actinopteri, Clupeiformes, Clupeidae.
AUACACUACACCAACUGAAUUCACCCAUCAUGUCUGCAGCCUUUGGGGAAACACAUACCUGGCUGAAUAUUCAGGUGGUCUGCCUCAUCUUUUAUGUAUUUCUCUCUGUAGAAUGUCCUGUCAAUCAGAGACUCACCUCACUCCUUGCCCAGCAUGACCUUCAACCAAAGCUUCUCUUUUGAGGCUGUGAAGGAAUCUGUCUCUGGAGUGAAGGUGCAGCUGGAGGAGAAACUGGAUGACAUCUUCAGGCAGGAAGUAGUCAAGAUAUCUGUAGCAGGUGGAUAAACAUGUAGAACUGACUCAAUGAUGAAUUCCUUAUUUCACAGUUUGAGAAGACAAGGAUCCCACUUAUUUUGAUGUAUUUUCCUGUAUCUCUCAACAGUAACAGAUAUCCAGAUCAUCCAGUCCUUAGAAUUGUCUGAAGUCCAGGCUGUUUUUCCUGAACCAGUGACCAGAGAGGAGUUCUCACAGUACUCCUGUCACUUCACACUGGAUCCAAACACAGCAUACAGACUCCUCCAUCUGUCUGAGGGGAACAGGAGGGUGGAAUGUAGAGCUGAGGUCCAGUCAUAUCCUGAUCAUC